Molecule: ribosomal RNA, 460 nt
Filed under: uncultured bacterium
Lineage: Bacteria
Description: partial 16S ribosomal RNA
Rfam family: Bacterial small subunit ribosomal RNA
Source: RNAcentral
CCUACGGGCGGCAGCAGUGAGGAAUAUUGGUCAAUGGACGAGAGUCUGAACCAGCCAAGUAGCGUGAAGGAUGACUGCCCUAUGGGUUGUAAACUUCUUUUAUAUGGGAAUAAAACGUUCCACGUGUGGGAUUUUGUAUGUACCAUAUGAAUAAGGAUCGGCUAACUCCGUGCCAGCAGCCGCGGUAAUACGGAGGAUCCGAGCGUUAUCCGGAUUUAUUGGGUUUAAAGGGAGCGUAGGUGGAUUGUUAAGUCAGUUGUGAAAGUUUGCGGCUCAACCGUAGAAUUGCAGUUGAAACUGGCAGUCUUGAGUACAGUAGAGGUGGGCGGAAUUCGUGGUGUAGCGGUGAAAUGCUUAGAUAUCACGAAGAACUCCGAUUGCGAAGGCAGUUCACUGGACUGCAACUGACACUGAGGCUCGAAAGUGUGGGUAUCAAACAGGAUUAGAUACCCCUGUAGUC